UAAUUGUAAUCAAUAACCAUGUAUUCGGACCAAGUGGAGCAAGUAAACAUGUGAUACAGCUUCUGCCCUUUGACGGACAUUCUUGAAGUGCCAUCUAACAUUAGACCACUACGGCUUAAAGGGUAUGUCAGGCAUAAAUUGGUGUUCGCUGAUGUACAAUUCUCGCAGGCGUCACACUCUGCUACCAUUGUCGGUAUCACAUAAUCUCCCUCUUCAAGACCAAUGACUUCAUCCCCAAAGCUCUCCACCAUUCUUCAAUGGGAGUACAAUUCAAGUUAUUGUAAGAUCAACUCUUUCUUCAUCAAAAGCUAGCUAGCCCAGCUUUUGGGUACUAGUUUUGCUAUAUGUAGUAAGAAGAGGGCUUACCCAACGCCUUCGUGGCCCAGGACUCGAGGAAAAAGUGGCUGGAAAAGGAGAUAAAAUGGAGAAACAAAGUAAGCUUGAAAGACAUUAAUAAUAAUUAUGCAAGGAUGAUCAUGAAAAUCAAGUAAAUUGUAUUACCACACGAUCUCCUUUGCGUCCGGCACGUAAGACAUCAGUGUGACACACGCUUGCAUAUAGCAUCCUCACUCGAACUUCAGUUGAUUUUGGUGGUUCUAUUUGUAUCUCUUCAACCUUCAAUGGCUCCCCACUUCCCCAUAUUACUGCCGCUGUCAGAAGAAGCCCAGAUGGCAAGUUAACAACUGAAAGCAGAGGAAUUAUCUUUCUGUGGCUACGCGCGCAACACAGAUGAAGAAAACUCAUUCAUCAACGUACCUUUACAUGUUAUAAUCUGUGAGCUGCGGCUCGUCGACAUUGCAGAGGAAUGCUUAUGCAGUGCAGGCAGCUAACAAAUCUAAAGUAGGAGUUUUGAUUUUAGAAUAUGGAUUGCUGAGGAAUGCUUUUGCUUAUACAGUGCAGGCAGCUAACAAAUCUAAUGUGGAGAGAGAAAAGGGUAGAAUGGGACAACUCCUCCGGACCUCACCUGACCUUAAUUUAGGAUUCGGACUCCUCCCUCCUCUAUCUGUAUCUUAUGCAAUGUUACGGCAGUUGUUUUACAACGAUUGUCUAUUUCUGUUUCUGAAUUGUUUUUCAAAAUUAUUUUUUAUUUAAAAAAUAUUAAAUUAAAUUUUUUUUAACUUGUUUGCAGAAGAUUUUAAUGUACUAAUAUUAAAAAUAAAAGUAUUUUGAUAUAUUUUAAAUUAAAAAAAGUUUUUUAAAAGUUUAUCACAAUAUCAAAUAUAUAAAUUAUUUUUUGUUUGAAAAACAUAUUAAAUUAAUAUGUUUUUUAAUAUUUUUAGAAGAUAUUGACAUGUUAAUUUUAAAAAUAAAAAUUAAUUAAAAAAUAUUUUAAUUUAUUUUAAAUUAAAACUUCUAUUAUGAGCUUUCAAUUAUUGAUGAUAAAAGACACGUGGGGUCUAAAUUAACGAGUCUUGAAAAAGAUACCUAUAUAAGAAAAAAGUUGUCUUUCCUGUUUAGGAUACUUUGUCAUAAAGAAUAAUAUUUGGUUUUAGUUAUCUUUAUAUAGAGAAAAUUAUUGGUCACCGAUCACCCACCUACUGACUUGUACAUAUUAGUAUGGUACAAAAAUCACACACUAGACUUGUGAAAUUAAUUAGUUCUUGCUUCUGCUGUCGGAAUUAAUAUAGUAUUAUGUUCUAGAUCAUUGCUCUGCCCACCACGUCACUUGUUGAUGUCCAAGUUUUGUUGCCCUCAAGUUUAAUGUCUUAUUUUUGUGUUUGAAUUGGUUUUUAAAAUUAUAUUUUAUUUAUUUUUAAGUUUUUUUAAAAAGAUUUUAAUGUUCUAAUAUUAAAAAUAAAAAAUGUAAAAAAAUAUUUUGAUGUAUUUUAAAUUGAAUUUUUUUUGAAAAACAAGCACCACAAUACCAAAUACAAAUUAUUAUUUUUUUGAAAAAAAUAUUAAAUUGAUAUUUCUUAAAUAUUUUAAGAAAAUUUUAACAUGCUAAUAUUAAAAAUAAAAAAAAAUUGAAAAAAUAUCUUUGAAAAACAAGCACAACAAUACUAAACAUACAAAUUAUUUUAUGUUUGAAAAACUAUUAAACUUAUAUUUUUUUCAAUGUUUUUAGAAGAUUUUAAAUGUUAAAAAUAAAAAAUAUUUUUUUAAAAUUAUAUUAAUGUAUUUUAAAUUGAAACUUCUGAUACGAGCCUUCAAUUAGUUUAAAUAAAAAUAAUUUAUGAUAAUAUAUGUCAAGAAAUUAUAAUUCAAAUUUUAUAGCUAUUUUUUUAAACAAAUAAUAAGAUGUUAUUGAUUAAAAUUUAAAUACAUUGACACAUAAACAAUUUAUAUGAUUAACCAUAGAAUUUACAUUAUUGUUGAUUGAUUGGUUUUUCAAUAGCAAUAACAAUUAAUAGAUUAUCACGAAAGGAUAAAAGAGUGAUGGUUGAGGGUGGUGUCACCCUCUGUAAAAAUAAGAGCGAAUCUUACUUUUGGUUUGCUAUCUAAUAAUCAUGAAUUUGAGUUAUUUUAGGAUUAUUGAGGGAUUAUCUAGUUAUUAACUUUAAGGCAUAUAAAAUUAGUGAACAUACACUAUUGGUUAAUUUCGCAAAUGCACGAAUCGUAACAAGUAAUAAAGUGAUGAGUAGAGUAUUGUCACACGAGAAUUUGUAAAAAUUACUACUAAUUACCAAAGUCCUUUUAAGUUAUGAUCUAUUUGAGGAAUCGAAUGAGAUAGUUUUCAAAACAUAAAUUAAUAAUUAAAAACAAACAACUAGCUGAUUAAAUAUUAUUGAAUUCAAUUCUAUUGGUUUUAGGAUUUAUGACUUAUUGUAACUAUUUCUAUGUGAACUUUCUCAAUUGAAUUAAUUACUCCUAGCGUUGAUAAUCAGGUUUUUCUAAUUUAAACACUAAUCUCUCUCGAGCAUCAAUGAAUUAUUUUGAAAAAUAAACUUCAUAUACUUUAUGAAAUUUCUAAACUUUUCAAAAUUUAUUAAGUACCGUAAAACCUUUAACGAUUACAAAAGUUCCUUGGAUAUCUCUAUCCUAUAGAUUUCUUAAGGUAUUUCAAACAAUGACUAAAACAAUUAUCACCUCUCAAUCUCAAAUUGAAUUCUAAUGGGUGAUCUACCCAGUUGAAAAAUAAAAGUGGUCUCAUUUUAAUUGGUGACCUACCCACAUGGAAAAUGCAAAGAUGGUCUCAUUAUAAUGGGUGAUAUACCCAAAUGGAAGAUAAAAAAACAUUUUUAUUGUAAUGGGUGACCUACCCACAUGGAAAAUGCAAAGAUGGUCUUAUUGUAAUGGGUGGCCUACCCAAAAUUUGUUGUGAUGUCGCGAUCGCACAAAUUAAUUACCCUAACUUCAAACACAACGCACAAGAUAGUAUAGAGCAAGCAAGGGGUCGAUCCCACGAGGAAGGUUCAAGUCAGAUUUUUAUGCUAGGUGAUAUGCAAUUUAGGAGGGGUUUGAACAUUAUCUAGGCUAAAGCAAAAGAAAACAGAAAACUAUCAAACAAAAUUUAAUAAAAUUAGAAAAUUAUCAAGAGAACAAACCUUGGUCGCAAUCACACUUCCACCUAUAGAAAUCAGAACUGAUCAUGGAAACAAAACAUCAAUUUAUAUUCUGAAUAUUUAUCUCUUCUUAACAUUAGUUAGUUAACGGAUAUGCCAUAUAACUAGCCCUGACCAUCAAACAACCAUAGUGUCCGCACUAGUAAUUUAAUUUAAUGGCAUCCUUAAGAACUAUAUAAGUUGAUUAAUCAAGAAAACAUAAUUGUUCGCAGUCUAUGUUUGAUUUGAUUGAAUGUUUUCCCUAAGAUUAAUAACAUACAUCCGCCACAAUUAUUAAACUCAGUUACUUUACAAUUUCAUAUACCACAACUCCGGUUUUGAUAUCAAACUUAGCAAUAAAUUGUCUAUAAUAAUACUUAGAAUCCGCUCUAGCAAUUAAAAUAAACAAUCAUAGGAAAAAUAAGCAUAAGAGAACAAACAUAUUCAUCAUAUAAACUGAAAAUAAAAGGUAAAAUAAAUCUCACAGUUCUUGAAAUCCGAUGGUUUCCGUGUCUUUGCAACCAAGAAAAUGAGUUUAGCCUUGCAUGUUUGUUGAACAACUAUUUAAAAAGAUGGAAGAAUGCAUGAUUUAGGAUUUCUUAGAGGAGGGGGGUGUUUUUCUCUUGUUGGCUGGCUGCCCCCUUUCUCUUCUCUAAUUCUUUUUAUAUGCUAGGAAACCCUGGUCUCUAUUUUACAAAAUAGUCCUCCCUUAAGUAGACAUUUUACAUUUAAGUAGUUCAAUAACUAUUUUCCUAAAAAAGAAGAAAUAGCCUUGCAUGAAGUCUUCAAGCUUUGACUUAGAGGAGCUAAAUUUCUGAAAUAAAAACUUGGAUGUCGGUUUAGAUGCUUCGAAACGUAAUUUGGACUCGUUUCUUCAUGAAACGUGUUUCCUGGCAGAAUUCAGUUGUCAUCUUUAAAAAAUCAUAUGUCCCUCAUAUGACAUCGUUUUUUUCUGAAAUUUGGAGCUUUUAUAUUUAUUUUAGUCAAGAAUCUAAAACAAUUGAGUUUGCAUCAAUUGGACUUCUGUAGCUCCAGAUAUUCAAGUCGGAAUGACCAAAGGUCAACAUUGAUAUAUUGCGAGAUUUGACUUUGAAAGCUGUGAUUUCCAUUCUCUUCCUUAUUUAUUGUCUUGCCUUAGAUGUCUAGAAAGGUAUGGAUUAACCAUAGAAUUUACAUUAUCGUUGAUUGAUUGGUUUUUCAAUAGCAAUAAUAAUUAAUCGAUUAGCGGAAAAGGAUAAAAGAGUGAUGGGCGUGGGUGGUGUCACCUUUGUAAAAAUAAGGGUGGAUCUUCUUUUGGUUUGCUAUUUAAUAAUCAUUAAUUUAAGUUAUUUUAGUGUUAUUGAGGUUUUAUAUAAUUAUUAACUUCAAGGCAUAUAAAAUUAAUCAACGUACACUGUUAGUUAAUUUCGCAAGUGCAUGAAUCGUAAUAAGUAAUAAAGUGAUGAGUAGAGUAUCGUCCCACGAGAAUUUAUAAAAAUUGCUACUAAUUACCAAAGUUUUUUUAAAUUAUGAUUUAUUUGAGGAAUCGAAUGAGAUAGUUUUCAAAAUAUAAAUUAAUAAUUAAAAACAAAAAACUAGCUGAUUAAAUAUUAUUGAAUUCAAUUCUACUAGUUCUAGGAUUUAUGACUUACCAUAAUUAUUUCUAUGUGAACUUUCUCAAUUGAAUUAAUUACUCCUAGUGUUGAUAAUCAUGUUUUUUUCUAAUUUAAACACUAAUCUUUCUCGAGUAUCAAUGAAUUAUUUCGACAAACAAGUUUCAUAUACUCUACGAAAUUUCUGAACUUUUUGAAAUUUAUUAAGUAUUGUAAAACCUUUAAUGAUUACAAAAGUUCCUAGAAUAUCUCUAUCCUAUAGAUUUCUUAAGGUAUUUCAAAUAAUGGCUAAAACAAUUAUCACUUCUCAGUCUCAAAUCAUGUCUCUCUGUGUGCCCCGCUGAACCCCUAUUUUUCUAUUUAAUAUUCUGGUCUUUUUAACCCCCAGGUGAAAAGAAGAAAAUUUCCUUCUCUCUUUCAUAAUCCUUUCCUAUUCGGGUAUUACGAGCUAGAUUGGAGGCAGGAAACGUGUGAAUUCAAAGAUCUCUAUUUCUGGAGAAAUUGUAGAAAAUUGAAUCUUCUUUCUAACAACACUGAUCUUGUAAUUUUUGGACCUCUAAGACUUGAGAUACAUGCCAUAACCCUAGACAACAUUUGGAGUGCAAGAAGGUCGGGUCUGAUUCAAUCCCUGCUUUUCGACUUGCUUUUUGGGCUUCAAAAUAGCAAAACUUAGUUCUAUGUCCUUUAUAUGUUUUGUAGAUCUUCAUCUCAAAUAUUUGAAAAUGGUGACGAAUGCCUGGAACUGAGUUGUAUAGAUUUCUUUGUAGCCCAAAAUCAAUCAAUGUUUGGUUUUACUACCGGAUUCUGCCUACUCAGUAUAAUAUCUAAAAACACAUUAAUUUUCCACAUGGUCAAUAGUUCAAAAAGGGUUCCAAAAUUCUAAUUAACUUGUGCAACACAUCUAAAAUAUUUCAAAAUCAAGCAUGAAUAGUGGAAAAUAUACAUGCUAAAAAUUCCCAUAUCAUACAUAAAAGCUAACCAGACAUGUAUGUUAAUAAUAAUAAUAAAAAAAGUGGAGACAUUAAAGUUGUAAAUAACAAAACUUGGACAUCAACGAGUGACGUGCUGUGUAGAGCAACGGUCUUCAAUAUAACUUUCGAGGUCAUUGACGGAUUGAAUGCUGACAAGGAUUAAUUCUUGAUUUAGAAAAUAUUACAAAUCAAGAAAACUAGAAAUCAGGAAGAAGUUUAGGAAAUAUUUUGAUAUAUUUCUAUGCUUAGGCUUCCAUCAUUAAAAAAUGAUUUAUUGUACAUGUAUAUAUACAAGUUUUAUGCAACAAAAAAAGAGCACAAUGAAUUGUUACAAACAAUUAUCUCUUAACUAUCCAGACACUGUUGACAUGGUAUCAGAGCAGACGAUCCGAAUCUAAACCUUUUUCAAAUCACAAACAACCUAUAACAUUGGCAGAAUUGAACCCACCAAACCAUGCUCAGAUUACAACCACAAAUUCCAGAAUUGACACUCAAACCAACUUUACCCAAAACCCUGACCUGCCAAUUGUUGUCCCUAGAAUCAAAACUUAAUGGCCAGAAUUAUGAACUAUGGUCACAGAUCAUGGAGAUGUUCAUCUUUGGCAGAGAAAAACUUGGAUUAAUCACUAGUGAAAUCAGACAGUCAAUACUUACCGACCCAACACACAGUAAAUGGAGAGCAAAAAAUACAAUUGUUAAAGGUUAGAUUAUCAAUUCCCUAACCUCAGAUUUAAUUGGGAAUUUUAUUAGGUUUCCUACAGCUAAAGGUGUUUGGGACGCCAUUGCCACAACAUACUUCGAUGGACGAGAUAAUGUCCAGGUAUAUGAUCUAAAAUGAAAAGUCAGUCGAACCAUAUAAGGGAGGGGUUCUCUAGAAGACUACUACACUAGCUUACAAUCUCUCUGGCGAGAGAUUGACUAUAGACGCCCAAAUCCCAUGACAUGCGAUGAGGAUAUACAGAAAUACAAUAAAUUAAUUCAAGAAUAUCGAAUUUAUACCUUCUUGGAUGGUGUGGAUGAUCAAUUUGAUCAGACCCGCCAAGACAUUCUUCAACAUAUCCCUUUGCCAUCGAUCGAGCAAGCCUUCACUCAAGUAAGAAGAGAGAACACUAGACGAACCGUGAUGAUGGAUGUCGCACGUGCCUCGUGUGACGUUGAUGAUGAUUUUUGUUGUUUGUUUGAUUGAUUUGAGAGUUUCCACCUAGUAUUUAAUUGAAGAUUACUAGGAAACCCAGAUGUACUGGUCUUUGUUAGAGAUUCACGGGUAAGGGACUGAUUAUGACUAAGAAAGAUAUUAAAUAUUAGCACCCCUAGCGCACCCUAACUGAGUUAAGUUACUUCAUGGUUUUGAUAUAUUAUAAAAGUUUUAAAGGUUGUCUUUUCAUUGGAUAUCAAGAAUACGUAUUACAUAUAAGCUCGUAAUCCUUAACCGUGAGCGAAUCAAACCAUUAAAUUCUUCUUGUCUUUUUUAAUUUUUUUUUUGUCCUUUUGGUUUUAUCAUUAAAAAAACACAUAAAAAAAGAUACAAACACCCAUACAUUACUUUUCAUUAUUUUUACUUGCACACACCCAUAACUACAUAUAAAAUUUCUUUUAUCUCAGCCCAUAAUGUCAGAUGCAACAAAGGUCUUCAUGGGAAAAGUAUCUUCAGAACAGGUCCCACGAAACAUUGAAGAACCUAUGCUAGAUUAAUACUAGAAGAUAGUUGUCUAUAAUGAAAUGAAAGCUCUCUAUAAUAAUAAUACUUGGGAACUAACUACAUUGCCAGAUGGAAAGAAAACAAUUGGAUGCAAAUGGGUGUUUACUAUGAAAUAUAAAGUAGAUGGGACAAUAGAAAGAUACAAAGCGAGACUAAUAGCUAAAGAAUAUACACAGACUUAUGGCAUAGACUAUCAGGAAACGUUCUCACCAGUAGCCAAACUGAACACAAUGCGGAUACUCCUAUCACUUGCAGCAAAUCUAGACUGGCCUUUACAUUAAUUUAAUGUAAAAAAGCAUUUUUUUCAUGGAGAUCUAGAGGAGGAAGUGUAUAUGGAUGUUCCUCCUGGUUUUACUAGAAAAAAAAGGAAGAAAAUGUGGUGUGUAGGCAUACAAAAUCACUUUAUGGACUCAAACAAUAUCCUAGAGCAUGGUUUGGAAGAUUUAGUCUAGCAUUGUGAAAGCAUAGAUUUAGCCAAAGCAACUCGGACCAUACACUAUUUCUGAAAAGAAAUGAGGGAAAAACAAUAGCCUUGAUUAUUUAUGUUGAUGAUAUGAUAGUCAUAGGAAAUGAUGAAGAAGGAAUUUCAUAAUUACAAAGGUAUCUAGCAAGUGAAUUUAAAAUGAAGGAUCUUGGUGGGUUGAAGUAUUUCUUGGGCAUCGAAGUAUAUAGAUCAAGAUUGGGCAUGUUCCUCUCACAAAGAAAGUAUGUAUUGGAUCUAUUAGCUAAGAUAGGUAUAUUGGAUUGCAAACUUGUAGAUAAAUCAAUCGUACAAAAUCAUUGUUUAGCGGAAUAUCCAGAUCAGGUUCGCACAAAUAGAGAAUGAUAUCAGAAAUUGGUGGGAAGAGUCAUCUACUGAUGUAACCAUAUUAUUCGAUAGUUUCACUCGCAUUUAACUAGUGUUUUGCCUAUCAUAUUUAUAUAAAAUGCCUUGAUAUUCUUUGUUUUAUGUUUUGAAGGCACUUUUGAAUGAAAGAUACAAAAAUGAGUAAAUUGGAGGUAAUUGGCAGAUUUGACGUUCAGUCGAUGUUUUGUGCAGAGCGUGAGUUCUAGAGGUCAAAACGAAGUGAUUCCAAUGGAAUUAAAAAGCUAACAUCCAUACCUUUCUGGAAAUGCAAUGCAAGAAAAAUAAAAAGAUAAAUAUCAUGGAAAUCACAUCCUUCAAAGUCAAAUCUCGCAGUCUGCCAAUGUUGACCUUUGCCCAUUCAAAAUUCAAUAUCUGGAGCUUCAGAAUUCCAAUUGAUGAAAACUCAAUUGUUUUGGAUUCCUUACUCAAAUAUAUAUAAACGCUCCAAAUUUCAGCCAAAAAAGAUGUCAUAUGAGGGAGAUAUGAGUUUUCAAAGAUGACAGCUGAAUUCUGCCAGCAAGUAGGUUGCGUGAAGAAACGAAUCCAAAUUUCAUCCAGAAGCAUCCAAACCGACCAACAAUUUAGCUCCUCUAGUAAAUAUUCUAGAAGGUCAAGGAAGGCAGCCACCAACCUCAAGGCAGCCACCAGUCAGCAGCCGCCAGCCGUCUUCACACUACCAUCAUCUAUUGAUGUUCACACUUGAACUUUGAUUUUCUUACUUACAAUUUGUGUAUAAAUAGAGGGAGAGGAGAAGGAGGUGGUAGUAAGAAGUGAGGAAACACAAACUCUCCUCUCUACAAAUCAGAAAUUAUGUAUUCUUCCAUCUUUAGGAGUAGUUGUUCAAUAGAUAUGCAAGGCUAAGCUCGUUUUCUUGGUUGCAAGGACACAACAAACCUUCGGAUUUCAAGAACCGUGAGAUUUAUUCUUCCUUUUAUUUUCAGUUUAUGUUAUGAAUGAGUAUGAUUGUUUUCCUAUGCAUAUUUCCUAUGAUUGUUUAUCUUAAUUGCUAGAGCGGACUCUAAGUUAUUAUUGUGAACAAUCUAUUGCUAAGUUUGAUAUCAAAACCGGAGUUGUGGUAUAUAAACUUGUGAAGCAACUAAGCUUGAUAAUUGUAGCGGAACUACGUUAUUAAACUUAGGGAGAACAUUCGAUCAAAGCAACACAAAUUGACAACUUGGUUGUUAAGAUUAAUGAAUUUAUCUGGAUCUUAAGGCUGCCAUUGGAUUAAAUCAUUAGUGCAGACACUGUGAUUGUUUGUUGGUUAGGGUUAGUUAUACGGCGGAUCCGUUAAUUAACCAAUAUUAAGGAAUAAUAAAAUUCAUAAUAUAAACUGGAGUUUCGUUUCAAGGAUCGAUUCUAAUUUCUGUUGGUGGAUGUGUGCUUGCAACCAAGGUUUGUUUUCUUGAUAUAUUUCAGUUUCAAUUGAUUUUGUUUGCUAGUUUAAUUGCUGCCAUAAUUUAGAUAAUCACAAACCAAAUCCCCCCAAUUACAUAACGUACAACAUAAAAAUUUGAACUAAACCUUUCUCGUGGGAUCGACCCCUUGCUUGCUCUAUACUAUCUUGUGUGUUGUGUUUGAAGCUAGGAUAAUUAAUUUGUGCGACCACGACAUCGCAACAUCUACCUUUAACAUACACGUCCUGAUAUCGCAUAUGCAAUCAGUCUAGUCAGCCAAUUCAUGCACAACCCAAGUGAAGUACAUAUGGAGGCAACAUUGCAAGUACUUACAUACUUAAAAUCCUCUCCGAGAAGAGGACUUCUUUUAUUAAAGAAUGACCACCUUAACAUCAUUGGUUAUACCAAUGCAGAUUGGGCAGGAAAUCUGACCGAUAAAAAGUCUACUUUAAGAUACUUUACCCUUGUUGGAGGAAACUUGGUGACCUUGAAAAGUAAAAAGCAAAAUGUUGUUGGUCUAUCUAGUGCUGAAGUAGAAUUCAAAUGGAUGACCAAAUGAUUAUAUGAAAUACUAUGGAUAAAGGGGCUACUUAAAGAGAUAUGAUAUCUUAUGGAGAUUGAGAUCAAGAUGUACUAUGACAACAAAGCUGCAAUUGUCAUAGCUAAUAAUUCAGUUCAACAUAAUCGAACUAAACAUGUGAAAGUAUAUAGACAUUUCAUCAAGCAGAAACUCGAUGAGAAGACUGAUUUUUCUUUUUGUCAAAUCUGAGGAUCACUUGGCAGAUAUAAUUACUAAAGCAGUAUCAAGUAAAGUGUUUCAUUGCUCUUUCAACAAGUUGGGCGUAUGAGAUAUCUUUGCAUCAAUUUGAGGGGGAGUGUUGACAAAAAUUAAUUCUUGGUUUAGAAAAUAUUACAAAUAAGGAAAACUAGAAACCAGGAAUAAGUUUAGGAAUUAGGAAUAAAUUUAGGAAAUAAUUUGAUAUAUUUCUAUUCUUUGGUUUCCAUCCUUAAAAAAGAUUUAUUUUACAUGUAUAUAUUCAAGUUUUAUGCAAUAAAAAAAGAACACAAUGAAUUGAUACUAAUAAUUAUCUCUCAACUGCCUAGACAAUGUUGAUAGAAUUCCUCCUAUCCCAGUAAUCUAAAAGGCAAGUGUUUGGUAUCGUUGCUGUUUUUUGUUUCUAAUAUUUUUGAAAUUAGUUUUUAAGAGAAAAAAACAAAACAGAAGAUAAAGAAUAAACUAACAAGAAGGAACAACGUGAGAUAUUUUUUUUAUAUUAUUUCUGUGUAGCUGCUGAUGCUUGAGGGUAUUUCGGAAAAAUAAGUAGCAAAGUUUCAGAAUAGGAAAACUGGCAAGAAAUAUAUACUUUCACUUUUAGAGCAAACCUGCCAAAUCAAAAUUACUUUUUCAUCAACUUCAACAAAUUAUACUCGAAUUGUUCUUGAGAAAUAGCAAAGCUUGAAACAAUUAGAUCCAUCGAUAUUCAGUACUCGGGCAUACAUCUUGCUAGACUUCGUGAGCCCCCCCACAAGGCAAUAAAUAAUACAGGAAGCAUGUUCUCUAAUCCUGCAACUUUAUUUCAGAUGCUGUUUUAUGAGCUUUUUUUUUUUUUUUACUUGGACAUAAACAUGGCCAGGCUUUAUUAGCAACAGCUUAAUCAAUCAAAUCUUGAUGAGCACCUUCACGCAAUCUGGUUGCUUUAACAGCUCAAAUGUUUUCUCGAUAUCUUGUAAUGUAACUUCAUGAGUCAAGAGUUCAUCAAGAUCGAAUUCCUGUCAGAAAUUAAGCAGACCCGCCAUCAGUUUCUCUUAAUUUAUGGAGUUCCUCAUUCCAGUGGUAUGCUAUUGUCGAGUAAGGUAAAUGAUUUUAUUUUAUUUUUCUUCAAUUAAUACGUUCACUCCACAUGCUAAUUUGAUAAGGACAUACCUUAUUUUUGCAUUUCUGAAAGAGGAUGGGAAGGUCGGAUUUUACUUUGAGCCCUCCAAAAAUGGACCCCUUUAGGGUUCUUCCACAAAAAAGAGGAAAGUAAUCGAUCUUUACGCUGUUGAUUCCUCCGCCUAUAAGAAUUGUUUUUCCUUUUCCCUAACAACCAGCAUAAGGGAGAAACUCGUAUUGAAUGGUCGUUUUCCGAACAUCUCAAAAAUCGAGUUAGAGUAUGAUUAGCAGAACAAAACAGAGCAUGGGUUAGAAGCAUGCAUAUAUAUAUACCUCUUUUGUGGCUUGGAUGGCUUGAUUAAUCAAGGACUCGGAACCAACGCACUCAAAGCAAUAAUCCACUCCCACUCCACCAGUCAGGUCUUUUAUCAUUUGUGAAAUAGAUUUAUCCGAACACUCAUCAGGGUUCAUGAAAUCGGUCAUUCCAAAAGCUAGCCCCUUGUCUUUUUUCAUACUGUUCUUAUCAACGCCGAUUAUCUUCGCUGCCCCUAGCAUUCGAGCUCCUUCUGUGACCUGCAUUUACAGAGAUUUUUGAGAGACAAAUAAGGGUAUCAGCAAAAUAUUCUUUUCUUCUCAAGGAAAGGAAAGGAACAAAACCAACCCCGAGUCCAACAGCACCAAGGCCUAAAACAGCCACAGUCGAUCCCGUUUUAAUCUGAGCUUCCUUCCAAGCUGCUCCAAAUCCAGUUGAAAAUCCACAUGAUAGAACACUGGCAUGAGGCAGAGGUAUGCUUGGAUCAAUCUUGUUUACAUAAUUGUAAUCAAUAACCAUGUAUUCGGACCAAGUGGAGCAAUUAAACAUGUGAUACAGCUUCUGCCCUUUGAUGGACAUUCUUGAAGUGCCAUCUGACAUUACACCACUAAUGCUUAGAGGGUAUGUCAGGCAUAAAUUGGUGUUCGCUGAUGUACAAUUCUCGCAGGCUUCACACUCUGCUAACAUUGUUGGUAUCACAUAAUCUCCCUCUUCAAGACCA
Molecule: long non-coding RNA, 12892 nt
Filed under: Populus tremula
Lineage: Eukaryota; Viridiplantae; Streptophyta; Magnoliopsida; Malpighiales; Salicaceae
Description: long non-coding RNA (PTRE_LNC001662)
Source: RNAcentral